Molecule: ribosomal RNA, 3237 nt
Filed under: Durio zibethinus
Lineage: Eukaryota; Viridiplantae; Streptophyta; Magnoliopsida; Malvales; Malvaceae
Description: eukaryotic LSU rRNA
Rfam family: Eukaryotic large subunit ribosomal RNA
Source: RNAcentral
ACAACCCUAGGUCAGGUAAGAUUACCCAUUAAGUUUAAGCAUAUCAAUAAGUGGUGGAAAAGAAACUUACCAGGAUUCCCCUAGUAAUGGCAAGCAAACUAGGAAGAGCCUAGCUUGAGAAUCGGGCACCCCUAACAUCCGAAUUGUAGUCUAGAGAAGUAUCUUUAGUGGCAGACCAAGCCUAAGAACCUUGGAAAGGGGCACCAAAAAAUGUAAGAGCCCUAUUGUGCCUAGACAUUGUCCCACAAUGAGGUGCAGUAUGUCAGUUAGGUUGUUUGGGAAUGCAACCCAAAUCAAGCAGUAAAUUCUAUCCAAGGUUAAAUGCAGGUGAGUGAUCGAUAACAAAAAAGUACCGUAAAGGAAAGAUGAAAAGGUCUUUGAAAAGAGAUUCAAAUAGUGCUUGAAAUUGUUAUGAUGGAAGUAAAUGGGGGUUGGUAUGUACCUUGGUCAGACAUGGAAUAGCGAGAGCCAGUUUGUAGAUUGGCUCGAAGCAUAGACCGAUGCGGGUCAUGGUGACGGCCUAAGCCUGGGCUUUCGAUAUGCUUAUGGAGAUGUCAUUUUUGUAAUUGUGGAAUGCAACACAAGUCAUCUCAAUGUGCCUUGGCACUUGCAUGCUCCCAACAUUGGCUUGUAGGCUCCCCAUCUGUCCUAUCUUGAAAAUGAACCAAAGAGUCUGACAUGUGUGCAAGGCAACAAGCUAGGAAACCCAUAAGGUGCAAGGAAGCUAAUUGGUGAGAUCCCUCAUAGGUGCACCGACUUGGAUCUUUAGAGAAAGGUUUAAGCGUAAGCAUGCUUGUUGGGACCGAAAAGAUGGUGAACUAUGCUUGAGUAGGGUAAAGUUAGAGGAAACUCUGAUAAAGGCCUACAGUGGUAUUAACGUGCAAAUCAUUCAUUUGACUUGGGUUUAGGGGUGAAAAACUAAUUGAACCAUCUAGCAACUAGUUCCCUCUGAAGUUUCCCUUAAGAUAACAGGAGCCCUUAGCAAGUUCUAUCGGGUAAAGCCAAUGAUUAAAGGCAUCAAGGGUGCAAUGCCCUCAACCUACUCUUAAACUUUAAAUAGGUAGGAUGGUGCAGCUACUUCAUUGAGCCAUACCAUAGAAUCGAGAGCUCUAAGUGGGCCAUUUUUGGUAAGCAAAAUUGCUAAUAGGGGAUGAACUGGAAGCUGAAUUAUGGUGCCCAACUGCAUGCUAACCUAGAACCUAUAAAGGGUGUUGGUCGAUUAAGAUAGUAGGAUGAGGGUAAUGGAAGUUGAAAUCUACUGAGUGUGUAACAGCUUACCUAUCGAAUCAACUAGCCUAAAAAAUGGAUGGCAUUUAAAUGUGCGACCUAUACACAACUAUCAAGGCAAUGGCAAAGGCUAGGCCCCAAUGAGUAGAAGAGCAUGGUGGUCGCUACAAAACCUGGGGCAUGAGCCCUGUGGAGUAGCCUUGGUGCAAAUCUUGGUGGUAGAAGCAAGUAUUCAAAUGAGAACAUUAAAUACUAAAAAGGGGAAAGGUUCCAUGUGAAUUGCACUUGCACAUGGGUUAGUCGAUCCUAAGAGAUAGGGGAAGCCCAUCCGAUAGUGUGUCCAAUGUGAGCUUUAAAAGGGAAUCAAGUUAAAAUUCUUGAACCAGGAUGCAUAGCUGACGACAAUAUUAGGUAGUCUAGAGGUGUUAGAGGGGGCCUUGGAAAGAGUUAUCUUUUCUAUUUAUGGCCUGCCCACCCUAGAAAUGGCUCAACUAGAGGUAAGGUCUAGCAAUCGAAAGAGCAUUACAAGUCACGUGGUGUUUGGUGUGCCCUUAGCGACCCUUGAAAAUCUGGAGGACCAAGUGCUCUCUAUGCUUGGUCAUAUUCAUAAUUGCAUCACUCUCUAAAGUGAAUAGCCUCUAGUCAAUGGAAUAAUGUAGGCAAGGGAAGUCUAAAAAAUAGAUCCAUAACCUCAAGUAAAAGAUUGGCUUAGAGGGCCAGGCACGAGGUCCUAAUCCCAAACUCAUUGACUGUCGAUGCACUACUUAAGCUACUCUCAUGGCAACAUGGGUCAUUGUGUGUUGAUCAAAGAUGGACUUGGAAAGGCUUCCUUUAGGGCUUUUCCCGAGCAAUGAAUAGUCGACUCAUAAUUGAUAGGGAUAAGGGGAAUCUAACUAUUUAAUUAAAACAAAGCAUUACAAUGGUCCCUACGAAUACUCAUGCAAUGUGAUUUUUGCCCAAUGCUCUAAAUGUCAAAGUGAAGAACUCAACCAAGUGAGGGUAAAUGAUAGGACUAACUAUGACUCUCUUAUGGUAGUCAAAUGCCUCAUCAUCUAAUUAGUGAGCACAUGAAUGGAUUAACACAAUUCCCAUUGUCCCUAUCUACUAUCCAAUGAAACCACAAUCAAAGGAAUGGGCUUGGCAGAAUCAGCAGGGAAAGAAAACCCCAUUCGGCUUGACUUUAGUCCAACUUUUUGAAAUGAAUUGAGAGGUGUAGGAUAAGUGGUAGCCCUAAGUCAAAAUUGAAAUACCACAACUUUUAACAUUAUUUUACUUAUUCCAUAAAUCGAAGGCAAGGCAGAACCCCUUCUAUUUGGCCUAAGGCCAACCUUGAUUGAUCGAUUAGGGUAAAAGACAUUGUUAGGUAGGGAGUUUGGCUGGGGUAGCACAUUUGUUAAAAGAUAAUGCAAGUGACCUAAGAUGAGCUCAAUGAGAAUAGAAAUCUCAUAUGGAAUAAAAGGAUAAAAGCUCAUUUGAUUUUGAUUUCCAGUACGAAUAAACUAUAAAAGCAUGACCUAUUAAUCCUGUAGACUUUCAGAAUUUGAAGCUAGAGGUGUCAAAAAAGUUAUCAGAAGGAUAACUAGCUUUAUGAUAGACAAGUGUUCAUAGUGAUGUUGCUUUUGAUCCUUCAAUGUUGGCCUUCCUAUCAUUGUGAAGCAAAAUUCACCAAGUGUUGGAUUGUUCACCCACUGAAAAGGAAUGUGAGCUAGGUUUACACCGUUAUGAGAUAGUUAGUUUUACCAUACUAAUGGUAGCGUCACAAUAAUAAUUCAACCUAGUAUGAGAGGAAUCGUUGAUUCGUGCAUUUGGUUAUCCCACUUGGUUGAAAAGCUAGUGGCAUGAAGCUACCAUGCACUUGAUUAUGACUAAAUGCCUCAACAUUAGAAUCUAGGUUAGAAGGGACACAUGUAUCUAUUGCCCAACUAUAGACCAGUAGUAGUGGCCUAUGCCUUGAAAGGUACAUGUCAUAGGUGUAGCACCCGUAGCAAAUAAGCCAUACGAGCCUUUCUU